This 327-nucleotide ribosomal RNA is filed under the name uncultured eukaryote. RNAcentral's name for it is "partial 18S ribosomal RNA". It matches the Rfam family "Eukaryotic small subunit ribosomal RNA", at positions 1470 to 1796 of the family's 1831-position model. The record is from RNAcentral.
CCCUUAGAUGUUCUGGGCCGCACGCGCGCUGCACUGACGAAUGCAACGAGCUUAUAACCUUGGCCGAAAGGUCUGGGUAAUCUCCAAAUUUCGUCGUGAUGGGGAUAGAUUAUUGCAAUUAUUAAUCUUCAACGAGGAAUGCCUAGUAAGCGCAAGUCAUCAGCUUGCGUUGAUUACGUCCCUGCCCUUUGUACACACCGCCCGUCGCUCCUACCGAUUGAAUGGUCCGGUGAAGCGUUCGGACCGUGGCCUUUGGACGGUUCGCCGUCUGUUGGCUGCGGGAAGUUCGUUAAACCUUAUCAUUUAGAGGAAGGAGAAGUCGUANCA